AACGCAUAUUGCGCCCUCUGGUAUUCCGGGGGGCAUGCCUGUCCGAGCGUCAUUACUAUAUUCAAGCACGGCUUGUGUGUUGAGCAUUUUGUUCCUAUUUUUUGGUGAACAAAGGCUUGAAAUGCAGUGGCGAUGCCUAAAUUGGUUGCCUGAACGUAUGGGGCUCAAUCACACGUUCUCUGGCUCCAGUUAUGCAUCUUGUUCCCAACUUUUUUUUUCCAGAAAAAUUGACCUCGGAUCAGGUAGGAAUACCCGCUGAACUUAA
RNAcentral lists this unclassified non-coding RNA (265 nucleotides) under uncultured Eurotiomycetes. RNAcentral's name for it is "sequence contains 5.8S rRNA gene, ITS2, 28S rRNA gene". The stretch from base 1 to 52 matches the Rfam family "5.8S ribosomal RNA", at positions 103 to 154 of the family's 154-position model. Lineage: Eukaryota; Fungi; Ascomycota; Eurotiomycetes. The record is from RNAcentral.